UACGUAGGGUGCAGGCGUUAAUCGGAAUUACUGGGCGUAAAGCGUGCGCAGGCGGUUUGCUAAGAGAGAUGUGAAAUCCCCGGGCUUAACCUGGGAACUGCGUUUCUAACUGGCGAACUGGAGUGUGGCAGAGGGGGGUGGAAUUCCGCGUGUAGCAGUGAAAUGCGUAGAGAUGCGGAGGAACACCGAUGGCGAAGGCAGCUCUCUGGGACGGUACUGACGCUGAGACGCGAAAGCGUGGGGAGCGAACAGG
Molecule: ribosomal RNA, 253 nt
Filed under: uncultured bacterium
Lineage: Bacteria
Description: partial 16S ribosomal RNA
Rfam family: Bacterial small subunit ribosomal RNA
Source: RNAcentral